GUCCUGUAGUUUACAUUAUAUUACAGGUUGUACCUGCUCAAUGAUUUAUUAAAUAGCCGCAGUAUAUUAACUGUGCAAAGGUAGCAUAAUCAUUUGUCUCUUAAUUGGAGUCUUGUAUGAAUGGUUUGACGAAAUAUAAUCUUUCUUUAUUUAAUUAAUAUAAAUUUAAUUUUUGAGUUAAAAAGCUUAAAUUUUAUUACUAGACGAGAAGACCCUAUAGAAUUUUAUUAUUAAUUUUAUUUUAUUUUUUUUAAUUUUUAAUUAAAAUAAAAUUAAUAAUUUGAUUGGGGUGAUUGUGGAAUUUAAAUAACUUCUAUUAAUAUAUUUUCAUUGAUUAAUGUAUUUUUGAUCCUUUAUUAUGGAUUACAAGAUUAAAUUACCUUAGGGAUAACAGCGUAAUUUUUUUGGAGAGUUCUAAUUGAUGGAAAAGUUUGCGACCUCGAUGUUGGAUUAAAAUUAUAGUUGGGUGUAGAAGCUUAAUUUUAUAGGUCUGUUCGACCUUUAAAAUUUUACA
RNAcentral lists this ribosomal RNA (514 nucleotides) under Plinthisus sp. WCW-2003. RNAcentral's name for it is "partial 16S ribosomal RNA". It matches the Rfam family "Bacterial large subunit ribosomal RNA", at positions 1825 to 2600 of the family's 2925-position model. The record is from RNAcentral. Lineage: Eukaryota; Metazoa; Arthropoda; Insecta; Hemiptera; Rhyparochromidae.